RNAcentral lists this ribosomal RNA (497 nucleotides) under uncultured bacterium. Its description in RNAcentral is "partial 16S ribosomal RNA". It matches the Rfam family "Bacterial small subunit ribosomal RNA", at positions 28 to 507 of the family's 1533-position model. The record is from RNAcentral.
GAUGAACGCUGGCGGCGUGCCUAAUACAUGCAAGUCGAGCGAACAGACGAGGAGCUUGCUCCUCUGACGUUAGCGGCGGACGGGUGAGUAACACGUGGAUAACCUACCUAUAAGACUGGGAUAACUUCGGGAAACCGGAGCUAAUACCGGAUAAUAUAUUGAACCGCAUGGUUCAAUAGUGAAAGACGGUUUUGCUGUCACUUAUAGAUGGAUCCGCGCCGCAUUAGCUAGUUGGUAAGGUAACGGCUUACCAAGCCAACGAUGCGUAGCCGACCUGAGAGGGUGAUCGGCCACACUGGAACUGAGACACGGUCCAGACUCCUACGGGAGGCAGCAGUAGGGAAUCUUCCGCAAAGGGCGAAAGCCUGACGGAGCAACGCCGCGUGAGUGAUGAAGGUCUUCGGAUCGUAAAACCCUGUUAUUAGGGAAGAACAAAUGUGUAAGUAACUAUGCACGUCUUGACGGUACCUAAUCAGAAAGCCACGGCUAACUACGUG